This 572-nucleotide ribosomal RNA is filed under the name Russula sp. RNAcentral's name for it is "SSU rRNA". It matches the Rfam family "Bacterial small subunit ribosomal RNA", at positions 350 to 965 of the family's 1533-position model. The record is from RNAcentral. Lineage: Eukaryota; Fungi; Basidiomycota; Agaricomycetes; Russulales; Russulaceae.
AGCAGUCAAGAAUAUUAGUCAAUGCUCGAAAGAGUGAACUAGCUAACUGAAAUCAAUUAUAAUAAUGUGAUAACAUAAGGGAAAAUAAUGAUAUUACCUUAUGUAUUAGUGUGCGUCCAAAACUGGUGCCAGAAGACUCGGUAAGGCCAGAGACACAAACGUUAAUCGUCUUAAUCAGGCGUAAAGGGUUUGUAGGCGGCUUUAAAAUUUAGUUAAUAAAUAUAAUUAUUAGAUAAAGAAUAAAAGCUAGAAUCAAAUAGAGGAUAUAUGAAAGAAUGCUUAGAGUAGGUCUGAUAUCUUUAGAUACUAAGUAGAAUACUAAAGGCGAAAGCUUUUUUCCAUUAAUGAUUGACGCUCAGAAACGAAGGUGAGGAUAGGAAAUAGGAUUAGAUACCCAGAAUACCCCUCUCUGUCAACGAUGAAUGGUAGUUAUUAGUAAAAAUUAUUAAUGGCAAUGUUAACACGAUAACCAUUCCGCCUUGUGAGUACGACUGCAAAGUUGAAAACAAAAAAAUUAGUCGGUUUCGGAGCAAACGAAGUGAAGCAUGUUAUUUAAUUCGAUAAUCCGCAAA